Molecule: long non-coding RNA, 1816 nt
Organism: Leopardus geoffroyi (Geoffroy's cat)
Lineage: Eukaryota; Metazoa; Chordata; Mammalia; Carnivora; Felidae
Exons: 3
Source: RefSeq, a predicted model, not a curated record
UUCAGGAAGAGUAGGCCUGCAGAGAUCAGGAAAGAGGGCAAUGCAAACAGCAAGCUCUGAAGGCUUCUGUGUGGAGCCGGAUGACCUUCACCCCCAGCCCUGAGCCUCUUCCCCACCAGAGUGAAAGGGAAAGUGGACCUGAUGAUGAACGCCGAGUACAAGCUGCUCAAGCUUCUCUCCGUGAAGGCCCGAAUAACGAUGUGGACACGGUGUAUAAAAUGAUUCCCACAGCAGGAUGGGAAUUAACAUUUGUUUGUUUGUUUCAGACCAACUAUUUAUUGUCAGCGUACAGAGACUUCUGAAGGAGUCGAGCUGAGGAACAGCUGAGAGAAACUCUCUGAUGACGGGCAUGAAAGCAGUGUGUGCCAGGAAACAAUAAAGCAGGGGGUUGGAGACAAAACUCAGCAGCUCAGGAAGCACACACACCACAGGCAUAAUUUCUCAUCAAUGUCAGAAAGUGCUUCUCCUGCUCUAAGAGGUGGUCACCAGCAGCCAACACAGUUUAAGAAGAGAGAGCAUCUGUCUUCAUCAACCCACUCAAGGUGUGUUUACCUACUAGAAACUCAGAGAAAAAGAAAUGUAAACUAACUAAAUGUGGUUGAUGUCUUCACCUCUCUUUGCUCUGUCUCCAUUUCUCCAUUUGCAAACUAAGAGCUUUGAACAGAGCUAAGGGCUCAUCUGGGUCUGACAUUCUAUAAUUCUAUGAAUUCAGCCACUGGCUCUAUGACUGGUAUUGAUUUUUUUUAAGGGGCUAUCUUUAAUAUCAAAUGAUACUUCUUUUUUCUCCCCAGAUUUUGGUUUUGUUGGUCAUGAUCUUAAUCACAUUUUGAUCAUUUUGUCUAUUUUUGUAUCUCUAGUGUCUAGCACUGCAUAUGCACGGUACAUGGCAAAUCUUCAUCAUGCACUAAAUAUUGAUUAAAUUUUUGUCUCUCCUUUCAACUGGCAAGCCUCCUGGAGCUCCCGGUGCUGAACAGGAGAAGACUCAAUACGGUUCUUGCACAAUGAGGCUGGCUGCCCUCUUGUUAUCAAGAGUCACUCAUGGAGCAUCUAGAUUGGCACCUCUUCCAAUUCAAAGCACAUUCUGGGACCUGCAGUGGCUGUUAAUCAGCAAGUGUUUACUGAGCUUGCUUUAAUGUGCUUUGCUCCCUCUCUCUCAAAAAAAAAAAAAAAAAAAAAUGGUGCCCCUUACUUCUGUUUCUUUUAGGUAAGAAAUAAAUAUUCUAAGUUAGUUGAGGGAGUUGGAUUUUUCUUUGUAUAGUUCACCACUCCUACUUCAGGGCAUUACACAUAGGAGGAACUCAAUAUUUUGGGGUUAACAGAGUUCAGUGAUUUAAUAAACACCACAGUCUUUUCAAGCACAGUACCCUAGAUCUUCUAUGGCUAGGAACCCUCCUUUCCUACUUCUGGAUCCUACCGUGGGGCUAGAUGCACCUCCCCUUUUUAGGUCUCUUCAAUGUCAACGCCUCUACAAUUAUAGCCACCUCUUUUCCCUCAUGAUACUCUUGCCAGAUCACCAACUCGUUCUAUUCAGAAGAGUGCAAUUGCCGUAAAGAGAAAGCAGGAGGCUCUCACCUUCUGCUGCGAUGUCACCCUGUAGCUGGCUUGUGGCUAGCUUUUGGUUUACCCACUUGAAUUCUGCCAGGGUCUGUUUUGUGAAAGAAUUAAAAAGGCAAUACUAUGUAGUUAAACUUCAAAGGAAAUAGUUAAAAGAAAGAAGCACAAUUUCCAUUAUCUUUCCAAAUGGCUAAACGCAUUUCAGCCCCUUAUGUUUCCAAAAACUGUUUAUAAUGUACUUUUCUCUAUUCUAGGUCACUGA